Methanotorris igneus Kol 5 is the source of this 37-nucleotide non-coding RNA. Lineage: Archaea; Methanobacteriati; Methanobacteriota; Methanococci; Methanococcales; Methanocaldococcaceae. The record is from Rfam.
GUUUGAAUUGCUCAUCCAUUAAAACAAGGAUGGAAAC